UACGGGGGGGGCAAGCGUUGUUCGGAUUUACUGGGCGUAAAGCGCACGUAGGCGGCUCGAUCAGUCAGGGGUGAAAUCCCAGAGCUCAACUCUGGAACUGCCUUUGAUACUGUCGAUCUGGAGUAUGGAAGAGGUGAGUGGAAUUCCGAGUGUAGAGGUGAAAUUCGUAGAUAUUCGGAGGAACACCAGUGGCGAAGGCGGCUCACUGGUCCAUUACUGACGCUGAGGUGCGAAAGCGUGGGGAGCAAACAGG
This 253-nucleotide ribosomal RNA is filed under the name uncultured bacterium. Its description in RNAcentral is "partial 16S ribosomal RNA". It matches the Rfam family "Bacterial small subunit ribosomal RNA", at positions 524 to 776 of the family's 1533-position model. The record is from RNAcentral.